CUGGCGUGACACUUCAUCCUUUUUGCUUUUCAUGGGGUGAAGCAGCACUAUUGGCUGCUAACUUGCACGGCCCAAUGUCCCAGGAAAUGGACUCAAAGUAGCCGUGCGGUUAAGGCCUACGCUCCCCAUAUCUUGUAUCUGGUUGUACUUCCCCUGGCCUGAUAAAAGCUUUUACUUUUUGGCGGGCUACAACUUUUUCUUUAUUUUUUUCUGCUUCUUCUGCAUCGUUCUCUACUCCUUCCUCAUCCUUUAGGACGCCAU
Molecule: long non-coding RNA, 261 nt
Filed under: Nicotiana benthamiana
Lineage: Eukaryota; Viridiplantae; Streptophyta; Magnoliopsida; Solanales; Solanaceae
Description: long non-coding RNA (NBEN_LNC007167)
Source: RNAcentral